GCCCAAUCCCUAGCUCAGCCCUCCCCCCCAACAGCCAAACCAAACCAAACCAAACCAUUUGCCAACCUCAGUAUAUGAGAUAGAACAGCCCACCUGACGCAACAGCAAACCCGUACCACAAGGAAUCAGUGAAAGAAACCCAACCAGCCAAAGCACAAAAAAGCAGGGAUGCCCCCCCGUACCUUCUGCAUAAUGGUCUAGCAAGCAUAAACAGAUAAAGAGAACUACAACCUGCCCACCCGAACCCAGACGAGCUACCCCGAGGCAGUCAAAAGGACCAACCCAGCCCUGUGGCAAAAGGGCGGGACGACCUUCGGGUAGAGGUGAAACACCUACCGAGCCUGGCAAUAGCUGGUUGCUCACUAAAUGAAUUUAAGUUCAACUCUAGUGCCAACAAGUACUAAAAAAUACCAACACUAGAAGAUAUGCCCCAGAGGACCAGCUCUAGGGCAACUGGAUACAGCCAAAACUAGCGGGCCCAAAACUUCACUCCCCUCCCCCGUAGGCCCUCAAGCAGCCACCAACAACAACCGCGUCAAAGCAACAGACAUGCCAACCCAUACCUAACUCCACACCCCCUACUACAAACUGAGCCAUCCCAUCCAACCAUGGGAGCACUACUGCUAAAACUAGUAAUAAGAGCCACACUCUCACUGCACCAGCCUAACAAAAAUUACCAACCAAAAUACCCACAAACCAAGACCACCUAUCCUACUUGCCUGUAAACCCGACACAGGUGUGCACCACAAGAGAUUAACCGCCCCAGAAGGAAUUCAGCUAAUAUACCCCACCUGUUUACCAAAAACAUCGCCUUUAGCCCCAACAAGUAUUAAAGGUCCCGCCUGCCCAGUGAAACACCUUCAACGGCCGCGGUAUCCUAACCGUGCAAAGGUAGCGCAAUCACUUGUCCCUUAAAUGAGGACUAGUAUGAACGGCUAACUGAGGGUACACCUGUCUCCUGAGGCCAAUCAAUGAAACUGAGCCUCCAGUACAAAAGCUGGAAUAUACACACAAGACGAGAAGACCCUGUGGAGCUUUAACCUUCGCCACUACCUGACACCCCGCCCCACAAUUGUGGGCCCAAACCACAUCAAAAUAGUGGCCACUUUAAGUUGGGGCGACUAUGGGGUAAAACUAAACCCCCAUGAAACAAGACUAACCCCCCUCAAAGGCCAACAUGCCAACAAGCCCCCGCACCCGACCCAGAUUUAAACUGAGCAACGAACCAAGUUACCCCAGGGAUAACAGCGCCAUCCCCCUUCAAGAGUCCAUAUCGCCAGUGGGGUUUACGACCUCGAUGUUGGAUCAGGACACCCCAGUGGUGCAGCCGCUACUAAAGGUCCGUUUGUUCAACGGUUAAUGUCCUACGUGAUCUGAGUUCAGACCGGAGCAAUCCAGGUCGGUUUCUAUCUGUGCCAUAUCUUCCUCAGUACGAAAGGACCAAGAAGACAGUGCCAAUGCGCCCCGCACGCACUGCCAACACAAUUGAACUAAAAUUAAACUGAUAUCAGACACCCCGUGUCCGAUAUAAGGACUA
Molecule: ribosomal RNA, 1537 nt
Filed under: Cyrtodactylus thirakhupti (Thirakhupts bent toed gecko)
Lineage: Eukaryota; Metazoa; Chordata; Lepidosauria; Squamata; Gekkonidae
Description: 16S ribosomal RNA
Rfam family: Bacterial large subunit ribosomal RNA
Source: RNAcentral